GGGCACAUGGUGUAGUUGGUUAUCACGCCCGCUUUGCAUCCCAUUGGCUGAGAUUGACAUGCGGGUGGUCCUCGGUUCAAUUCCGGGUGUGUCCA
Non-coding RNA from Lyophyllum atratum, 95 nucleotides. Lineage: Eukaryota; Fungi; Basidiomycota; Agaricomycetes; Agaricales; Lyophyllaceae. The record is from the annotation of a GenBank genome assembly.